UACGAAGGGGGCUAGCGUUGCUCGGAAUCACUGGGCGUAAAGGGUGCGUAGGCGGGUCUUUAAGUCCGGGGUGAAAUCCUGGAGCUCAACUCCAGAACUGCCUUUGAUACUGAAGAUCUUGAGUUCGGGAGAGGUGAGUGGAACUGCGAGUGUAGAGGUGAAAUUCGUAGAUAUUCGCAAGAACACCAGUGGCGAAGGCGGCUCACUGGCCCGAUACUGACGCUGAGGCGCGAAAGCUAGGGGAGCAAACGGG
Molecule: ribosomal RNA, 253 nt
Filed under: uncultured bacterium
Lineage: Bacteria
Description: partial 16S ribosomal RNA
Rfam family: Bacterial small subunit ribosomal RNA
Source: RNAcentral